UACGAAGGGGGCUAGCGUUGUUCGGAAUUACUGGGCGUAAAGCGCGUGUAGGCGGGUCUUUAAGUCAGGGGUGAAAUGCCAAGGCUCAACCUUGGAACUGCCUUUGAUACUGGAGACCUUGAGUCCGGGAGAGGUGAGUGGAAUUGCGAGUGUAGAGGUGAAAUUCGUAGAUAUCAGGAGGAACACCAGUGGCGAAGGCGGCUUUCUGGACGGUAACUGACGCUGAGACGCGAAAGCGUGGGGAGCAAACAGG
RNAcentral lists this ribosomal RNA (253 nucleotides) under uncultured bacterium. Its description in RNAcentral is "partial 16S ribosomal RNA". It matches the Rfam family "Bacterial small subunit ribosomal RNA", at positions 524 to 776 of the family's 1533-position model. The record is from RNAcentral.